Molecule: long non-coding RNA, 778 nt
Organism: Dromaius novaehollandiae (emu)
Lineage: Eukaryota; Metazoa; Chordata; Aves; Casuariiformes; Dromaiidae
Exons: 4
Source: RefSeq, a predicted model, not a curated record
CAGGCACUGCCACCACUCCCAGCACCAGCCCCCAGGAAAAGCCAUCGCCCGGAGCACCCACAACAGGCAUCGCACUGGGCGUGGUGGCUGCCUCCCUCCUCCUGCUCCUGCCUCCAGCAACGUAUUUCACCGUGAAGAAAUUUGCCUGUGAAGGGAGAAACCAGAGAUGUCAAUAUUGAUGAACUGGGCAGAGUUAAGGUGAGUUCAACCCUUACAGAGGCUUUCAGGCUGUGCAAUCCCUUCUUUGCUCAAACACAGCACACGUCUGAGGAAGGAAAUACCAACUCAAACCACCUCAAAGCCAACAUUUCCCAUGAGGCUGGGACUCUCCCUUGGCAUUGCUGUGGCUCUCGGUCCCCUCCUUGAGUGCUCCCGGCCCAGCCUCAGGGUCUGUUUCCACGACCCGCACCAAAAGGCUCAGGCUACUGUGCUUUCUCUUUGAAAGGUGGACAGAUCAAGCUGUGAGGAAGAGUCAUUGUACGCCAAUAGAGGGAAAGUGAGAGAUGACUCAGCCAGAUUCUGAGUUAUGCAGCACAUGAGAUGGCAUUCGCAUGGAUUGCUUGAGCUGCCUCUCCCCUGCGAGGAUUUGUAUUUGGGGGGCAGGAUCCUGGGACAAGGGGCUGGACAUUUCCAGAGGGGCUCAGGAUGCCUCAUUCCCAGCUGGCGAUUCUCCUGUCCUCCAGUGACUCUGGGCUUUGGCUCUCCUGGGGGAUGUGCACUUAGGGAGCCGCCAGAAGAUCCAGAGACCUCUCUCCACAAAAUGAGCCUGCUCCCAGCU